GGCAACUUGGCCGAGUGGUCUAAGGCGACGCACUCAAGGACUAGUUAUCCCGUAUAACUUCCUUCUCUUUCCUCAGAAAGAGCUGUAUUGCGUUCUCGAGAGGGGCGUGAGUUCGAAUCUCACAGUUGUCA
This is a non-coding RNA of Cladorrhinum sp. PSN259, 131 nucleotides long. The record is from the annotation of a GenBank genome assembly. Lineage: Eukaryota; Fungi; Ascomycota; Sordariomycetes; Sordariales; Podosporaceae.